Molecule: ribosomal RNA, 1096 nt
Filed under: Vibrio sp. 7725
Lineage: Bacteria; Pseudomonadati; Pseudomonadota; Gammaproteobacteria; Vibrionales; Vibrionaceae
Description: bacterial SSU rRNA
Rfam family: Bacterial small subunit ribosomal RNA
Source: RNAcentral
AUGAGCCAUGCCGCGUGUAUGAAGAAGGCCUUCGGGUUGUAAAGUACUUUCAGCAGUGAGGAAGGGGGUAUCGUUAAUAGCGGUAUCCUUUGACGUUAGCUGCAGAAGAAGCACCGGCUAACUCCGUGCCAGCAGCCGCGGUAAUACGGAGGGUGCGAGCGUUAAUCGGAAUUACUGGGCGUAAAGCGCAUGCAGGUGGUUUGUUAAGUCAGAUGUGAAAGCCCGGGGCUCAACCUCGGAAUUGCAUUUGAAACUGGCAGGCUAGAGUACUGUAGAGGGGGGUAGAAUUUCAGGUGUAGCGGUGAAAUGCGUAGAGAUCUGAAGGAAUACCGGUGGCGAAGGCGGCCCCCUGGACAGAUACUGACACUCAGAUGCGAAAGCGUGGGGAGCAAACAGGAUUAGAUACCCUGGUAGUCCACGCCGUAAACGAUGUCUACUUGGAGGUUGUGGCCUUGAGCCGUGGCUUUCGGAGCUAACGCGUUAAGUAGACCGCCUGGGGAGUACGGUCGCAAGAUUAAAACUCAAAUGAAUUGACGGGGGCCCGCACAAGCGGUGGAGCAUGUGGUUUAAUUCGAUGCAACGCGAAGAACCUUACCUACUCUUGACAUCCAGAGAACUUAGCAGAGAUGCUUUGGUGCCUUCGGGAACUCUGAGACAGGUGCUGCAUGGCUGUCGUCAGCUCGUGUUGUGAAAUGUUGGGUUAAGUCCCGCAACGAGCGCAACCCUUAUCCUUGUUUGCCAGCGAGUAAUGUCGGGAACUCCAGGGAGACUGCCGGUGAUAAACCGGAGGAAGGUGGGGACGACGUCAAGUCAUCAUGGCCCUUACGAGUAGGGCUACACACGUGCUACAAUGGCGCAUACAGAGGGCGGCCAACUUGCGAAAGUGAGCGAAUCCCAAAAAGUGCGUCGUAGUCCGGAUUGGAGUCUGCAACUCGACUCCAUGAAGUCGGAAUCGCUAGUAAUCGUGGAUCAGAAUGCCACGGUGAAUACGUUCCCGGGCCUUGUACACACCGCCCGUCACACCAUGGGAGUGGGCUGCAAAAGAAGCAGGUAGUUUAACCUUCGGGAGGACGCUUGCCACUUUGUGGUCAUGACU